CCUACGGGGGGCUGCAGUGGGGAAUAUUGGACAAUGGGGGAAACCCUGAUCCAGCAAUGCCGCGUGUGUGAAGAAGGCCUGCGGGUUGUAAAGCACUUUCGGUUGGGAAGAAAAGUUUGGCGCCAAUACCGCCGAACCUUGACGUUACUGACAGAAGAAGCACCGGCUAACUCUGUGCCAGCAGCCGCGGUAAUACAGAGGGUAAAAACGGUGAUCGGAAUGAGUGGAGGUAAAGCGUGCGUACGUGGGCGAAAUCCCCGGGCUUAACCUGGGAACUGCAUUCGAUACUACAUGGCUAGAGUAUGGUAGAGGGAAGUGGAAUGUCCGGUGUAGCGGUGAAAUGCGUAGAUAUCGGAAGGAACACCAAUGGCGAAGGCAGCUUCCUGGACUAAUACUGACACUGAGGCACGAAAGCGUGGGUAGCAAACAGGAUUAGAUACCCUAGUAGUC
Molecule: ribosomal RNA, 450 nt
Filed under: uncultured bacterium
Lineage: Bacteria
Description: partial 16S ribosomal RNA
Rfam family: Bacterial small subunit ribosomal RNA
Source: RNAcentral